GAUGAACGCUAGCGGGAGGCUUAAUACAUGCAAGUCGCGGGGUAACAUUAGAGCUUGCUCUAGAUGACGACCGGCGCACGGGUGAGUAACGCGUACACGACCUACCUCUGAUUGGGGGAUAGCCCUGGGAAACUGGGAUUAAUACCCCAUGGUAUUGAUUAAUCUAAAAUUUAUCAAUUAAAGCUUUCGAGUGAUCAGAGAUGGGUGUGCGUUCCAUUAGCUAGUUGGUAAGGUAACGGCUUACCAAGGCGACGAUGGAUAGGGGGCGUGAGAGCGUGAUCCCCCACACGGGUACUGAGACACGGACCCGACUCCUACGGGAGGCAGCAGUAAGGAAUAUUGGACAAUGGGGGCAACCCUGAUCCAGCCAUCCCGCGUGCAGGAUGACGGCCCUAUGGGUUGUAAACUGCUUUUAUAUAGGAAGAAUGGCCUUGAUUUAUUAGGGUAUGACGGUACUAUAUGAAUAAGCACCGGCUAACUCCG
This 483-nucleotide ribosomal RNA is filed under the name uncultured Saprospiraceae bacterium. RNAcentral describes it as "bacterial SSU rRNA". It matches the Rfam family "Bacterial small subunit ribosomal RNA", at positions 28 to 505 of the family's 1533-position model. The record is from RNAcentral. Lineage: Bacteria; Pseudomonadati; Bacteroidota; Saprospiria; Saprospirales; Saprospiraceae.